This 1841-nucleotide long non-coding RNA is filed under the name Pogona vitticeps (central bearded dragon). RNAcentral's name for it is "lncRNA (ENSPVIG00000021920.1)". Lineage: Eukaryota; Metazoa; Chordata; Lepidosauria; Squamata; Agamidae. The record is from RNAcentral.
UAUCUCACUUGUUUUGGAAACUCUAUUAGGAUUGCUGUAAGUCGGAUGCAGGUUAAAAACAUGUAACAUAAAAAAUAUACCUGCAAAUAAGCCCACUGUAUGGAGUCAGCCUUCCUAGUUACCGAGCAUAAAAUGACUUUGUGUAUCUGACAAGAGCAUACACACGUUUAAGUAGGUGUCCUUCCCCUUGAUUAUGUCUGACCUUUAAUUAUUUGAAACAAUCUAAAUAUUUUAAACGUCGAGCAAUAUAUGAGACACAGCAAGUACUUCGGCACCUGCCGCAAAAUAAUAUAAAACUACAUAUAAUCCCGUCCCCCCAAUGAAAUAAUAAGACCGAGUUGCCACCAGUUCCUCCCCGGUGACAAAAAGAUGGUGGGACUUGGUCAAACGAAGAGUCAGAGGAAACGCGGAUAGGGCAAGAGAGACGUCCAUCCAGCUCUCCACCAAUAGAAAAAUGUAGACCCGGGCGAGAAGGCGGGAACCCGGAAGAGAAAUUGCAGGCCGCUCUGAGCCUCACUUCCGCUCCUUGGAAAGCGAAGGGAGAGGCGGCGGCGGCGGUAGCGGGUGGUCGCAAUGUUUCGCUUUUUGGUUGGCUUUGUACUUGGUAAUGUAUUUGGGGUGUAUCUGGCUCAGAACUAUGAUGUUCCAAACAUUGCAAGAAAGUUUGAAGAAAUCAAGAAAGAUGUGGAAGCUAGGAAGAAGCCCCCAAAUGACAAAUGAUGUUGAUGAAGCCAUCUGUGUAAUAGGUGUAGAUGAUGUAGCUUUGCUUUUGGGACACAGGUACCAACCUGUAACAUCGUUUUUCUGGAUUCCCUCCAAGGCUAAUUGUGGAAGACCUUGACUGGAAGCAUCACCUCAUCCUUAGGACCUUCCAGUGCUUUCCGAAUAUUUGACCUUUGUUUUAACCUUACAUAAUAAGAAAACAGAUCCAGAGAGAGGAAUUGGACUUUUGUUCUCAGUGUAUUUACACAGUACUUACUUUAUAUUCAGUAUUAAUGUGUCAUGGGUGUAGAAUAAUGAAAUUCAUUUUGUUAUUCAAACCCAACAAACUAAUAGCCUGGCUGUAACAGCGGUUCAUGGAAGAAAUCAGAAGGGAACCGCAAACUAGUACCCAAAGAUUCUCCCCCUUCCCAAAUGUAUUUGGGAGCACAACUAUACAACCCUUUUGUACAACCUCUUUAUAAUGUACUAAAUUACUGAUUAAAACCAAUGAAUACCCUGCCCCCUGAAGUGAAUGCUUUCUGAUUUCAAACUUUGUGGGAUCUCACGCUGUGCAUAGUAAGUUGUCCUGUCCCAUGCAAAACAAAUGUGAAAUAUUGAGUCUAUCAGAGAAAGAGUUGUGAAAUACGGUCCACUCCAUAAGGUGGUAGCAUCAUCAUCUUAGAACUGCAGAGCUAGAAGGGACCUGUCCAGCCCCUCUCAAGGAGGCACAGUAGGAAAUUGAACUCCCAACCUUUGGCUCUGCAGCCAGAUAGCUAAAUCACUGUGGUAUCCAGCAGUUCUGUAUAGGUGAUAUGAUGAUCUUGCUUCACUCAUUUCUCUGUUUCUCUGGCAUUCUAUUCUAUAAAUUGGCUGUGAAAAUUCCUUUGUUGGGUUUAUCAUCUGAUCUAACAUUAGCAGAAGCCUGCACUGCAGUGUGAUUGUCAAAGUCUGCAUUAGUCCGGAUAAAAUUCUUAUUACCUUUGUCCCGUGUCCUUCUGUGCCACUGCCACGCAUAGAAAGGUAAUGUGAUAAUGAUCUAUUCAGACAAUGGUUCCCAACCUUGCGUGACCCAGAUAUUCUUGGAUGGCAAUUCCCAGAAGCCUUCUUCACCAGCUGUGAUGAAAAACAUGUGAGUUGCC